GACGAACGCUGGCGGCGUGCCUAAUGCAUGCAAGUUGAGCGAUGAAGAUUGGUGCUCGCACCAAUUUGAAGAGCAGCGAACGGGUGAGUAACGCGUGGGGAAUCUGCCUUUGAGCGGGGGACAACAUUUGGAAACGAAUGCUAAUACCGCAUAACAACUUUAAACAUAAGUUUUAAGUUUGAAAGAUGCAAUUGCAUCACUCAAAGAUGAUCCCGCGUUGUAUUAGCUAGUUGGUGAGGUAAAGGCUCACCAAGGCGAUGAUACAUAGCCGACCUGAGAGGGUGAUCGGCCACAUUGGGACUGAGACACGGCCCAAACUCCUACGGGAGGCAGCAGUAGGGAAUCUUCGGCAAUGGACGAAAGUCUGACCGAGCAACGCCGCGUGAGUGAAGAAGGUUUUCGGAUCGUAAAACUCUGUUGGUAGAGAAGAACGUUGGUGAGAGUGGAAAGCUCAUCAAGUGACGGUAACUACCCAGAAAGGGACGGCUAACUACGUG
RNAcentral lists this ribosomal RNA (497 nucleotides) under uncultured bacterium. RNAcentral's name for it is "partial 16S ribosomal RNA". It matches the Rfam family "Bacterial small subunit ribosomal RNA", at positions 28 to 507 of the family's 1533-position model. The record is from RNAcentral.